CAACUUUCAACAACGGAUCUCUUGGCUCUCGCAUCGAUGAAGAACGCAGCGAAAUGCGAUAAGUAAUGUGAAUUGCAGAAUUCAGUGAAUCAUCGAAUCUUUGAACGCACCUUGCGCUCCUUGGUAUUCCGAGGAGCAUGCCUGUUUGAGUGUCAUCG
This 158-nucleotide ribosomal RNA is filed under the name Amyloxenasma allantosporum. RNAcentral's name for it is "partial 5.8S ribosomal RNA". It matches the Rfam family "5.8S ribosomal RNA". From Rfam's summary of the family: 5.8S ribosomal RNA (5.8S rRNA) is a component of the large subunit of the eukaryotic ribosome. It is transcribed by RNA polymerase I as part of the 45S precursor that also contains 18S and 28S rRNA. Lineage: Eukaryota; Fungi; Basidiomycota; Agaricomycetes; Amylocorticiales; Amylocorticiaceae. The record is from RNAcentral.